CUCUUAAUUAGCUCUAUCUGAUC
RNAcentral lists this non-coding RNA (23 nucleotides) under Cricetulus griseus (Chinese hamster). The record is from RNAcentral. Lineage: Eukaryota; Metazoa; Chordata; Mammalia; Rodentia; Cricetidae.